This is a long non-coding RNA of Athene cunicularia (burrowing owl), 380 nucleotides long. RefSeq lists it as uncharacterized. The record is from RefSeq and is a predicted model, not a curated record. The transcript is spliced from 3 exons. NCBI's taxonomy places the organism in Eukaryota, Metazoa, Chordata, Aves, Strigiformes, Strigidae.
UGCGGCUGCAUCGGGAUCUCGCUGCUCCUUGCUAAAGGCAGACGAUGAGCACUACAUCCCGCGGGCCGUGCUGCUGGACCUGGAGCCCCGAGUGAUCCACUCCAUCCUGAACUCCCCGUAUGCCAACCUCUACAACCCGGAAAACAUCUACCUGUCCGAGCACGGAGGGGGAGCUGGGAACAACUGGGCCAGUGGCUUCUCCCAGGGAGAAAAAAUCCACGAAGAUAUUUUUGACAUAAUAGACAGAGAGGCUGAUGGGAGCGACAGUUUGGAAGGGUUUGUGCUUUGCCACUCCAUCGCUGGUGGGACGGGCUCGGGGCUGGGCUCCUACCUCCUGGAGAGGCUGAAUGACAGGUGAGCCUUCAGCCUCGUCCCCUUCC